AUUGAACGCUGGCGGCAUGCUUUACACAUGCAAGUCGAGCGGCAGCGCGGGGUUCAGGCAACUGAGCCCUGGCGGCGAGCGGCGAACGGGUGAGUAAUACAUCGGAACGUACCCAGGAGUGGGGGAUAGCCCGGCGAAAGCCGGAUUAAUACCGCAUACGAUCUGUGGAUGAAAGUGGGGGACCUAAGGGCAACUGAGGGCCUCACGCUUUUGGAGCGGCCGAUGUCCGAUUAGCUAGUUGGUGGGGUAAAGGCCUACCAAGGCGACGAUCGGUAGCUGGUCUGAGAGGAUGAUCAGCCACACUGGGACUGAGACACGGCCCAGACUCCUACGGGAGGCAGCAGUGGGAAUUUUGGACAAUGGGGCAACCCUGAUCCAGCCAUGCCGCGUG
RNAcentral lists this ribosomal RNA (391 nucleotides) under uncultured bacterium. RNAcentral describes it as "bacterial SSU rRNA". It matches the Rfam family "Bacterial small subunit ribosomal RNA", at positions 29 to 403 of the family's 1533-position model. The record is from RNAcentral.